CUACCGGUUCUCGUUCGAUCACCGAAGUCAAGCAUCAUGGGGCGCGUUCAGUACUAGGAGGGUGACCACCUGGGAACACCGCGUGCCGUU
This is a non-coding RNA of Caerostris extrusa, 90 nucleotides long. The record is from the annotation of a GenBank genome assembly. NCBI's taxonomy places the organism in Eukaryota, Metazoa, Arthropoda, Arachnida, Araneae, Araneidae.